CCGGCCCGGAGAAAAGUUCCCUCCCGGGGGCUGCAGGACCCUUCUCCCGGCGGGACCCGUGCCCCGGGGGGGCUCCGUGCCCGGCUCCUUACAGAGAUAAGACCGGGAAGACAGCUGCCUUCAGAUGAUACAGAAUUCACUGACAGUUGCUCUUGCUCCAAUCCUGCUUCAUGAGAACUUCAGAAGAUACUAACUGAGGUAUUUAUUUGUUCUUUUUAGAAUUUCUACUUUGCAGAUAUUUGAUAGGUAGAAGAACAGACAAAAGUCAUCAGGAAUAGAGACCAAGAGGGGUAAUCAGACAGGGAAAAUAGCACAGAAGUUCUGUCCAAAAAGAGCUACAAUGUCAUGUAAUCUAAUCUCUUUCUAUAGCUGGGCACUAUGUUACAUGUACAUUGAGAAAUAAGUUAAUUACAGAUAUGCCAAAAGGAAA
Molecule: long non-coding RNA, 430 nt
Filed under: Cairina moschata (Muscovy duck)
Lineage: Eukaryota; Metazoa; Chordata; Aves; Anseriformes; Anatidae
Description: domestica (muscovy Duck (domestic type)) lncRNA (ENSCMMG00000017493.1)
Source: RNAcentral